AACGUAGGUCACGAGCGUUGUCCGGAAUUACUGGGUGUAAAGGGAGCGCAGGCGGGUGAACAAGUUGGGAGUGAAAUCUAUGGGCUCAACCCAUAAACUGCUCUCAAAACUGUCCAUCUUGAGUAGUGCAGAGGUAGGCGGAAUUCCCGGUGUAGCGGUGGAAUGCGUAGAUAUCGGGAGGAACACCAGUGGCGAAGGCGGCCUACUGGGCACCAACUGACGCUGAGGCUCGAAAGUGUGGGUAGCAAACAGG
RNAcentral lists this ribosomal RNA (253 nucleotides) under uncultured bacterium. RNAcentral describes it as "partial 16S ribosomal RNA". It matches the Rfam family "Bacterial small subunit ribosomal RNA", at positions 524 to 776 of the family's 1533-position model. The record is from RNAcentral.